RNAcentral lists this ribosomal RNA (182 nucleotides) under Escherichia coli. RNAcentral describes it as "partial 16S ribosomal RNA". It matches the Rfam family "Bacterial small subunit ribosomal RNA", at positions 1 to 176 of the family's 1533-position model. The record is from RNAcentral. Lineage: Bacteria; Pseudomonadati; Pseudomonadota; Gammaproteobacteria; Enterobacterales; Enterobacteriaceae.
AAAUUGAAGAGUUUGAUCAUGGCUCAGAUUGAACGCUGGCGGCAGGCCUAACACAUGCAAGUCGAACGGUAACAGGAAACAGCUUGCUGUUUAGCUGACGAGUGGCGGACGGGUGAGUAAUGUCUGGGAAACUGCCUGAUGGAGGGGGAUAACUACUGGAAACGGUAGCUAAUACCGCAUAA